GUGCCGCUGGGGCCGUGACAGGCUCUGUGUUCACAGGGAUGGCUGGGCAGUACCUGAGGGGGAAGAAGGAAGAGCUCCAGCUGAUCUGCACUGCCCUUGAACACCUGACAGAGGACAUCAGCAGUGCCGUGUCAGACAUGGCACUUCAAACAUUGUAUGUCCUCUGGGCACUGCAGAGUGAGCGAUAUACCCUCUUCCAGAGGCUGCAAGAUCAAUUCCGCAGGGCAUGGAGGACAUGGCCUCGUCUGUCGGGGCUCGACUGGCUGCGCUGCUGGAGCUCUGCAGAGAGCUGAUCCCAGAGGCUCUGUCUGCUGGGGCCACCUGAGCCAGCAGGAAUUCUCAGUUUCUUUAGGAUUGUUCUUCUUUUUGUUUUUUUUCUUUAGUCUAUGAAUAUAGACUGUGUUAUAAUACACAGACUCCCAGGAGUUUUCUUUUGCUGCCCAGGGUCUGCAGGUCAUAGGGGAAGAGGGGGAAAAGGGUGCCUGGGCUCAGCCAGCUGCCCAGACGUGCAGUGUAGCAGGGAAAAUGGUCAGAAGGCCCUUGGCCUUUGGUGGUUCUUCUGAAGCCUUUGUGCUGCCGACAGAGCGGCUGGGCAGGGGCCGGAGCUGCAGGGAUCCUAGGAUCCUACGAGUGUUCCAAGUGUGGGAAGAGGUUUCGGAUCAGCUCCAGUCUCAUCCUGCACUAUCAGAUUCACUCAGAGGAGAGGCCCUUCCUCUGCCCUGACUGUGGGAAGGGAUUCAAGUGCAACUCCACCCUCAUCACCCACCGGCACAUCCACACUGGGGAGAGGCCCUACGAGUGUCCCCAGUGUGGGAAGAACUUCUCACAGAGCUCUACCUUGACCAAACACCAACGGAGGCACCGGUAAGGGAAGCCCUGCGAGUGCCCCGAGUGCAGGAAGAGCUUAGUGCGCUGCUCCAGCUCCAUCCCCCACUGGAGGAGCCACUUUGGGCACAGCCCUGGUCACCCACAUUCCCUGUGAUCCAUUUUGGGAACACACCUGGCUGCUUAUCCAUGUGUUUGGCCUUAAUUUUUUUCUCUUCUCCAUCUCUCUGUACUCCAAAAGCCAAGAGGGAUCGAUCUGUCGCCUCAAAUCCCACUGAAAAGAACUGUAUUUUUACCCAAAAUGGCUCAAUUCCACCUCAAAUUUCUUGUUCCCUCCUCAAAAAAAGUCAGUCCCAGGCCAAAUUCGCUCCAUGCCACAGCUGCCAGGCUGAGAUGGAGUUGGGAGGAGAUUGGGAGAAGUGGGAUCCCAGUUUGGAGCAGUGGGAUGGGGAUUGUGUGGGGCUGGCUGGGUGGGAUGUAUUUGAUAGCAAAUAAAACUUUCAGAGUUACU
This is a long non-coding RNA of Haemorhous mexicanus (house finch), 1336 nucleotides long. RefSeq lists it as uncharacterized. NCBI's taxonomy places the organism in Eukaryota, Metazoa, Chordata, Aves, Passeriformes, Fringillidae. The transcript is spliced from 2 exons. The record is from RefSeq and is a predicted model, not a curated record.